AAUCCGGGGUCCCCGACCUCCGAGUUGUAAUUUGGAGAGGCAUCUUCGGGGGGGAGCGCCGGCCCAUGUUCCUUGGAACAGGACGUCGCAGAGGGUGAGAAUCCCGUGCCAGGCCGGCUCCCUCCUCCCGUGUGAAGCGCCUUCGACGAGUCGAGUUGUUUGGGAAUGCAGCUCCAAGUGGGUGGUAAGUUUCAUCUAAAGCUAAAUACCGGCGGGAGACCGAUAGCGCACAAGUAGAGUGAUCGAAAGAUGAAAAGCACUUUGAAAAUAGAGUCAAAAAGUACGUGAAAUUGUUGAAAGGGAAGCGCUUGAGACCAGACUCAGGCCCGGGCAAACACCGCGCCCCCCGGGGCCGGGCAAUUGCCUGGGGCUGGGCCAGCAUCAGUCGGCGUGGCGGGACAAAGGCGCGGGGAAUGUGGCUCCCCUCGGGGAGUGUUAUCAGCCCCGUGCUCAAUGCCGCCGACGCCGACUGAGGACCGCGCCUAGGCUAGGAUGCUGGCUUAAUGGCCUUCAGCGACCCGUCUUGAAACACGGACCAAGGAGUCUAACAUCUAUGCGAGUGUUUGGGCGUCAAACCCUUGCGCGGAAUGAAAGUGAGCGGAGGUGGGAACCCCCCCAGCGGGGCGCACCAUCGACCGAUCCUGAUGUCUUCGGAUGGAUUUGAGUA
This 667-nucleotide ribosomal RNA is filed under the name Helvella danica. Its description in RNAcentral is "eukaryotic LSU rRNA". It matches the Rfam family "Eukaryotic large subunit ribosomal RNA", at positions 119 to 796 of the family's 3401-position model. The record is from RNAcentral. Lineage: Eukaryota; Fungi; Ascomycota; Pezizomycetes; Pezizales; Helvellaceae.